UACGGAGGGGGCUAGCGUUAUUCGGAAUUACUGGGCGUAAAGGGCGUGUAGGCGGCUUCGUGUGUCCCAUGUGAAAGCCCUCGGCUCAACCGGGGAACUGCAUGGGAAACUGCGGAGCUUGAGUCCGGGAGAGGAUAGUGGAAUUCCCAGUGUAGCGGUGAAAUGCGUAGAUAUUGGGAGGAACACCGGUGGCGAAGGCGGCUAUCUGGACCGGUACUGACGCUGAAACGCGAAAGCCAGGGGAGCAAACGGG
Molecule: ribosomal RNA, 253 nt
Filed under: uncultured bacterium
Lineage: Bacteria
Description: partial 16S ribosomal RNA
Rfam family: Bacterial small subunit ribosomal RNA
Source: RNAcentral